RNAcentral lists this transfer RNA (85 nucleotides) under Felis catus (domestic cat). It matches the Rfam family "tRNA". From Rfam's summary of the family: Transfer RNA (tRNA) molecules are approximately 80 nucleotides in length. RNAcentral also lists the same sequence under 2 other names. The record is from Rfam by way of RNAcentral. Lineage: Eukaryota; Metazoa; Chordata; Mammalia; Carnivora; Felidae.
GCCUGGGUGGCUCAGCUGGUUGAGCAUCCAACUUCUGCUUGGGUCACGAUCUCGCUGUCCGUGGGUUCGAGCCCCGUGUCGGGCU